RNAcentral lists this ribosomal RNA (474 nucleotides) under uncultured Desulfobulbus sp. Its description in RNAcentral is "bacterial SSU rRNA". It matches the Rfam family "Bacterial small subunit ribosomal RNA", at positions 916 to 1381 of the family's 1533-position model. The record is from RNAcentral. Lineage: Bacteria; Pseudomonadati; Thermodesulfobacteriota; Desulfobulbia; Desulfobulbales; Desulfobulbaceae.
GACGGGGCCCGCACAAGCGUGGAGUAUGUGGUUUAAUUCGAUGCAACGCGAAGAACCUUACCUGGUCUUGACAUCCCGGAGACCCUUAGGAAACUAGGGGGUGCUUCCAUCUGGAAGAAUCUGGAGACAGGUGCUGCAUGGCUGUCGUCAGCUCGUGUCGUGAGAUGUUGGGUUAAGUCCCGCAACGAGCGCAACCCUUGCCUUUAGUUGCCAGCAGUUCGGCUGGGCACUCUAAAGGGACUGCCGGUGUUAAACCGGAGGAAGGUGGGGAUGACGUCAAGUCCUCAUGGCCUUUAUGACCAGGGCUACACACGUACUACAAUGGCCGAUACAAAGGGCAGCGACACUGCGAGGUGAAGCCAAUCCCGUAAAAUCGGUCUCAGUCCGGAUUGGAGUCUGCAACUCGACUCCAUGAAGUUGGAAUCGCUAGUAAUCGUGGAUCAGCAUGCCACGGUGAAUACGUUCCCGGGCCUU